AUUGAACGCUGGCGGCAUGCUUUACACAUGCAAGUCGAACGGUAACAGGCCGCAAGGUGCUGACGAGUGGCGAACGGGCGAGUAAUGCAUCGGAACGUGCCCAGUCGUGGGGGAUAACUACUCGAAAGAGUAGCUAAUACCGCAUACGAUCUAUGGAUGAAAGCGGGGGACCGUAAGGCCUCGCGCGAUUGGAGCGGCCGAUGUGAGAUUAGGUAGUUGGUGGGGUUAAGGCUCACCAAGCCAACGAUCUGUAGCUGGUCUGAGAGGACGACCAGCCACACUGGGACUGAGACACGGCCCAGACUCCUACGGGAGGCAGCAGUGGGGAAUUUUGGACAAUGGGCGCAAGCCUGAUCCAGCAAUGCCGCGUGCAGGAAGAAGGCCUUCGGGUUGUAAACUGCUUUUGUACGGAGCGAAACGGCUCUGGUUAAUACCCGGGGCUAAUGACGGUACCGUAAGAAUAAGCACCGGCUAACUACGUG
Molecule: ribosomal RNA, 482 nt
Filed under: uncultured bacterium
Lineage: Bacteria
Description: partial 16S ribosomal RNA
Rfam family: Bacterial small subunit ribosomal RNA
Source: RNAcentral